This 440-nucleotide long non-coding RNA is filed under the name Panax ginseng (ginseng). RNAcentral describes it as "long non-coding RNA (PGIN_LNC003802)". The record is from RNAcentral. Lineage: Eukaryota; Viridiplantae; Streptophyta; Magnoliopsida; Apiales; Araliaceae.
CUUGACUUGUUGCUAUUGAAUAUAAUAUAAACCUACAAUAUAUAGAAUCCCCCAUUGGCCAUUACCCAUAUAAUUUAUUCUGAAAUGAUAAUGGUAAUGCAAGCAAAAAUGAAGGUGUAUGGACAAACCAAUGGGCAUAUAUCCCCACCACCUAGUGAGUGCACAGAACUUGGUCCAUCAACAAGUCCUUUCUAUGCCAAUCCUUGCUUGCUCCCAGGCCCAGCCUCAGCCUCCGCCUCCCACUGAGUAGUAAACAAAAGAAAGCGAGUGUGAAUGUUCUCUAGUACUACUAUUAUAUCUUAUCAUCUUAUGUCAUACACUACACCACUUAUCAAAUCUUUUUCACACAUUACUUCGUUUUUAGAGGAUGAUGUAGAUGUGCCAGUUGUGCACUAAAUACCAUAUUCUGCCAUGUGGAAUGCAUGUCUUUUGGACUCGAG